Molecule: ribosomal RNA, 496 nt
Filed under: uncultured bacterium
Lineage: Bacteria
Description: partial 16S ribosomal RNA
Rfam family: Bacterial small subunit ribosomal RNA
Source: RNAcentral
ACGAACGCUGGCGGCGUGCCUAAUCCAUGCAAGUUGAGCGCUGAAGGUUGGUACUUGUACCAACUGGAUGAGCAGCGAACGGGUGAGUAACGCGUGGGGAAUCUGCCUUUGAGCGGGGGACAACAUUUGGAAACGAAUGCUAAUACCGCAUAAAAACUUUAAACACAAGUUUUAAGUUUGAAAGAUGCAAUUGCAUCACUCAAAGAUGAUCCCGCGUUGUAUUAGCUAGUUGGUGAGGUAAAGGCUCACCAAGGCGAUGAUACAUAGCCGACCUGAGAGGGUGAUCGGCCACAUUGGGACUGAGACACGGCCCAAACGCCUACGGGAGGCAGCAGUAGGGAAUCUUCGGCAAUGGACGAAAGUCUGACCGAGCAACGCCGCGUGAGUGAAGAAGGUUUUCGGAUCGUAAAACUCUGUUGGUAGAGAAGAACGUUGGUGAGAGUGGAAAGCUCAUCAAGUGACGGUAACUACCCAGAAAGGGACGGCUAACUACGUG